Non-coding RNA from Gossypium raimondii (Peruvian cotton), 118 nucleotides. NCBI's taxonomy places the organism in Eukaryota, Viridiplantae, Streptophyta, Magnoliopsida, Malvales, Malvaceae. The record is from Rfam.
UUUUGAAAAUUUCCUUCAUUUCUACAGUUAAAAAUUAGUCACAUGACGUGCCACGUGUAUCUAAUGUUGGCAUAUAAGGACUAUUUUUUAACGGUAAAAAUGAAUGAAUUUUUUAACA